CAGGAGGACAAUCCUGGACAAUAGAAUGGCUGAAGUUUGAUAACUCCUACUUCAAGGAUAUCAAAGAAAGGAAGGAUGAAGAUUUACUUGUGUUGCCAACUGAUGCUGUUCUUUUCGAAGAUCCUUCAUUCAAGGUAUAUGCUGAGAAAUAUGCUGAAGAUCAGGAAGCAUUCUUUAAGGAUUAUGCUGAAGCCCAUGCCAAGCUCAGCAA
Molecule: unclassified non-coding RNA, 211 nt
Filed under: Hevea brasiliensis (rubber tree)
Lineage: Eukaryota; Viridiplantae; Streptophyta; Magnoliopsida; Malpighiales; Euphorbiaceae
Source: RNAcentral